RNAcentral lists this ribosomal RNA (405 nucleotides) under uncultured bacterium. RNAcentral describes it as "partial 16S ribosomal RNA". It matches the Rfam family "Bacterial small subunit ribosomal RNA", at positions 30 to 526 of the family's 1533-position model. The record is from RNAcentral.
AUUGAACGCUAGCGGGAUGCUUUACACAUGCAAGUCGAACGAGUGGCGGACGGGUGUGUAAUAUAUCGGAACGUGUCCAGUAGCGGGGGAUAACUACUCGAAAGAGUGGCUAAUCCCGCAUACUAUUGGAGCGGCCGAUAUCGGAUUAGCUAGUUGGGGGGGUAAAGGCUCACCAAGGCAACGAUCCGUAGCUGGUUUGAUAGGACGACCAGCCACACUGGGACUGAGACACGGCCCAGACUCCUACGGGAGGAAGCAGUGGGGAAUCUUGGACAAUGGGGGACACCCUGAUCCAGCCAUCCCGCGUGUAUGAGAAGGCCUUCGGGUUGUAAAGUACUUAUGUCAGAGAAGCGGUAUCUGCAGAAUAAGCACCGGCUAACUACGUGCCAGCAGCCGCGGUAAUAC